Molecule: non-coding RNA, 29 nt
Filed under: Rattus norvegicus (Norway rat)
Lineage: Eukaryota; Metazoa; Chordata; Mammalia; Rodentia; Muridae
Source: RNAcentral
UCUGAGUUGCUAUCUCUGAAUGAUCCAGC